GACGAACGCUGGCGGCGUGCUUAACACAUGCAAGUCGAACGAGAAUCGUACAAAGGAGGAUUCGUCCAACGGAGUACGAGGACAGUGGCGGACGGGUGAGUAACGCGUGAGUAACCUGCCUUUCAGAGGGGGACAACAGUUGGAAACGACUGCUAAUACCGCAUAACGCAGCGGGGUCGCAUGACCUUGCUGUCAAAGAUUUAUCGCUGAAAGAUGGACUCGCGUCUGAUUAGCUAGUUGGUGAGGUAAAGGCCCACCAAGGCGACGAUCAGUAGCCGGACUGAGAGGUUGACCGGCCACAUUGGGACUGAGAUACGGCCCAGACUCCUACGGGAGGCAGCAGUGGGGAAUAUUGGGCAAUGGGCGCAAGCCUGACCCAGCAACGCCGCGUGAAGGAAGAAGGCUUUCGGGUUGUAAACUUCUUUUGUCAGGGAAGAGUAGAAGACUGUACCUGGCGAAUAAGCCACGGCUAACUACGUG
RNAcentral lists this ribosomal RNA (480 nucleotides) under uncultured bacterium. Its description in RNAcentral is "bacterial SSU rRNA". It matches the Rfam family "Bacterial small subunit ribosomal RNA", at positions 28 to 507 of the family's 1533-position model. The record is from RNAcentral.